Molecule: ribosomal RNA, 420 nt
Filed under: uncultured bacterium
Lineage: Bacteria
Description: bacterial SSU rRNA
Rfam family: Bacterial small subunit ribosomal RNA
Source: RNAcentral
GAGGAAUAUUGGACAAUGGAUGGAAGUCUGAUCCAGCCAUGCCGCGUGCAGGAAGACGGCCCUAUGGGUUGUAAACUGCUUUUGUAUGGGAGCAAUAAGAUCUACGUGUAGAUUGAUGAGAGUACCAUACGAAUAAGCACCGGCUAACUCCGUGCCAGCAGCCGCGGUAAUACGGAGGGUGCAAGCGUUAUCCGGAUUUAUUGGGUUUAAAGGGUGCGUAGGCGGUUUGAUAAGUCAGCGGUGAAAUAUUUCAGCUUAACUGGAAGGGUGCCGUUGAUACUGUCGAGCUUGAAUUUAGUUGCUGUGGGUGGAAUGUGUGGUGUAGCGGUGAAAUGCAUAGAUAUCACACAGAAUAUCGAUUGCGAAGGCAGCUCACAAAGCUAAUAGUGACGCUGAUGCACGAAAGUGUGGGGAUCAAAC